CCUACGGGUGACAGCAGUGGGGAAUAUUGCACAAUGGGGGAAACUCUGAUGCAGCGACGCCGCGUGAAGGAAGAAGGAUUUCGGUAUGUAAACCUCUAUCAGCAGGGAAGAAAAUGACGGUACCUGACUAAGAAUCCCCGGCUAACUACGUGCCAGCAGCCGCGGUAAUACGUAGGGGGCAAGCGUUAUCCGGAUUUACUGGGUGUAAAGGGAGCGUAGGCGGUUUAGCAAGUCAGAAGUGAAAGCCCGCGGCUCAACUGCGGGACUGCAUUUGAAACUGUUGAACUGGAGUGCAGGAGAGGUGAGUGGAAUUCCUAGUGUAGCGGUGAAAUGCGUAGAUAUUAGGAGGAACACCAGUGGCGAAGGCGGCUUACUGGACUGUAAAUGACGCUGAGGCUCGAAAGCGUGGGGAGCAAACAGGAUUAGAUACCCUAGUAGUC
This 440-nucleotide ribosomal RNA is filed under the name uncultured bacterium. RNAcentral's name for it is "partial 16S ribosomal RNA". It matches the Rfam family "Bacterial small subunit ribosomal RNA", at positions 338 to 795 of the family's 1533-position model. The record is from RNAcentral.